RNAcentral lists this non-coding RNA (307 nucleotides) under Homo sapiens (human). Lineage: Eukaryota; Metazoa; Chordata; Mammalia; Primates; Hominidae. The record is from RNAcentral.
UAAUCUAUGCCAGCAAUUAUGACAAUGUUAGCAGACCAUGCAGCUCGUCAGCUGCUUGAUUUCAGCCAAAAACUGGAUAUCAACUUAUUAGAUAAUGUGGUGAAUUGCUUAUACCAUGGAGAAGGAGCCCAGCAAAGAAUGGCUCAAGAAGUACUGACACAUUUAAAGGAGCAUCCUGAUGCUUGGACAAGAGUCGACACAAUUUUGGAAUUUUCUCAGAAUAUGAAUACGAAAUACUAUGGACUACAAAUUUUGGAAAAUGUGAUAAAAACAAGGUGGAAGAUUCUUCCAAGGAACCAGUGCGAAG